AAUAGCUCACUAGUCGAGUGACUCCGCGCCGAAAAUGUACCGGGGCUAAGCAUAUUACCGAAUUUGCGGAUUCGAUACGAAAGUAUUGAGUGGUAGGGGAGCGUUCCAUAUUGGGAAGAAGCAAGAUCGAGAGGACUUGUGGACUAUAUGGAAGUGAGAAUGCCGGUGUGAGUAACGAAAAGACAGGUGAGAAUCCUGUCCGUCAAAAACCCAAGGUUUCCAGGGGAAGGGUCGUCCGCCCUGGGUAAGUCUGGGCCUAAGGUGAGGCCGAGAGGCGUAGCUGAUGGAUAUCUGGUGUAUAUUCCAGAACUAGUAUAAUGACUGAUGGAGUGACGAAGAAGGCUAGGAUCCGAUUCUUAGUGGAUUGAAUACGAGAUAUCAAGAGGGGAUGUAGGCAAAUCCGCAUCUAGAAAUCAAGAUAUGACAGGUAAAGGAUAACGAAGUCAAGCUUCCAAGAAAAGCUUCUAGGGUUAAUCAUUAUACUACCAGUACCGUAAACCGACACAGGUGGGUAGGAAGAGAAUUCUAAGACGCGCGAGAAAACCCUUGUUAAGGAACUCUGCAAGUUGGCCCCGUAAGUUCGCAAUAAGGGGAGCUCAUGUAAAAGUGAGCCACAGAAAAGAAGCCCAAGCAACUGUUUAACAAAAACACAGGUUUAUGCAAAACCGUAAGGUGAAGUAUAUGAGCUGACACCUGCCCGGUGCUGGAAGGUUAAAAGGAGAGGUUAGAGCAAUCGAAGCCUUGAAUUGAAGCCCCAGUAAACGGCGGCCGUAACUAUAACGGUCCUAAGGUAGCGAAAUUCCUUGUCAGGUAAGUUCUGACCCGCACGAAAGGUGUAAUGUCUUUGGGCACUGUCUCAACAGGGGACUCGGUGAAAUCAAACUGCCGGUGAAAAUGCCGGCUACCCGCGAUUAGACGGAAAGACCCCAUGGAGCUUUACUGUAGGUUGAUAUUGAUAUUUGGUAUGUAAUGUACAGGAUAGGUGGGAGACUAUGAAGCUAGGACGUUAGUCUUGGUGGAGUCGACGUUGGGAUACCACCCUUUGCCUAUCGAGUAUCUAACUAGUGUAAGUGGAUUACAAAGGACAGUGUCAGUUGGGCAGUUUGACUGGGGCGGUCGCCUCCUAAAGAGUAACGGAGGCGCUCGAAGGUUCCCUCAGAAUGGUUGGAAAUCAUUCGCAGAGUGUAAACGCAGAAGGGAGCUUGACUGCAAGACAAACAAGUCGAGCAGGGACGAAAGUCGGAGUUAGUGAUCUUACGGUACCGCGUGGAAGGGCCGUGACUCAACGGAUAAAAGCUACCCUGGGGAUAACAGGCUGAUCACGCCCAAGCGUUCACAGCGACGGCGUGGUUUGGCACCUCGAUGUCGGCUCGUCGCAUCCUGGAGGUGGAUAAGCUUCCAAGGGUUGGGCUGUUCGCCCAUUAAAGCGGCACGCGAGCUGGGUUCAAAACGUCGUGAGACAGUUUGGUCCCUAUCUGUCGUGGGCGUUGGAAAUUUGAAGAGAGCUGUCCUUAGUACGAGAGGACCGGGAUGGACAUACCACUGGUGUACCAGUUAGCCUGCCAGGGCUAUAAGCUGGGUAGCUACGUAUGGAACGGAUAAACGCUGAAAGCAUCUAAGCGU
Molecule: ribosomal RNA, 1623 nt
Filed under: human gut metagenome
Description: bacterial LSU rRNA
Rfam family: Bacterial large subunit ribosomal RNA
Source: RNAcentral